RNAcentral lists this transfer RNA (62 nucleotides) under Bithia sp. 1 HNL-2023a. Its description in RNAcentral is "tRNA-Cys". It matches the Rfam family "tRNA". Rfam says of the family: Transfer RNA (tRNA) molecules are approximately 80 nucleotides in length. Lineage: Eukaryota; Metazoa; Arthropoda; Insecta; Diptera; Tachinidae. The record is from RNAcentral.
GGUCUUAUAGUCAAUAAUGACAUUAGAUUGCAAAUCUAAAGGAGUAUUAAUUACUAAGACUU